ACAAUGAACCCAGCUCACGGGAGCUUGCAGUCUAACACAGGAAACAGCCACCUGCAUCUGUAAAGGUACUGAUGAGACCUCUUUAGUAUUACACUGGCAACUGACUGCACUGCGGAUAUGUUUGGAAUAAGGUUCAAAAGAAGAGGCUGUUCUAAGAAAGACUACCGAGUAAUCAAUCACCUCCUCAGAGAAAGUCUGCUCAGGGACCAGCUCUGUGAACACGGCAAGUAAUAACAGACAGAAAACGUGAUGAGAAAAGAGAGACCGGGAUUUUGAAAUCCUAUUUCCUGAAUGCCAUCUCACCAGGCACACGGAAGAAUAAAAUUAAGGAAUCAAGA
RNAcentral lists this non-coding RNA (338 nucleotides) under Pongo abelii (Sumatran orangutan). Lineage: Eukaryota; Metazoa; Chordata; Mammalia; Primates; Hominidae. The record is from RNAcentral.